AUGGGUGAUUACAUUUCUGAACGCACCCAUAGCUAAACAAUCAGCUGGCUAAUGGUUACUUUUGAACAUGAACCCAUGUUCGCAUAAAUGUUGUAACUCCGUGUGUGGGCUCUACAUAACGUAGAUCCGGCAACGAGAGAUGAACAACGAGCUAGGCAGUCGAAAAUGGUGCAUUUCUCUGUCUGUACGUGGACAGAUUGAUUAUGAGGGCGGAAACACGAGCAAAAGUAUUGUUGCACUUGUGGCAACGAGCAUUGUUAGCAUCGACUCUGGUGAAGUGUAACCACACUUUAACGUGUAGCUCUCUCCACCAUCGUCACUGAUUAAGAGCAGCGUGCUGUAACGUGUGAGAGAAGUUAGAAUUUUAUGUCUGCUCUGACACUGGUCCCUAUCUCCAGUCCCACGUCUCGUCAGUCCUGCUACCCUGUCCUGGACCCACCACUCUACUGCUUCCUUGGAUUCCUCUCCAGACCUGCUUUCCCAGCCCCAACUCCCCUCACUUCAGCCUCAGCACCUGGCUCCCUGUAACCCGCCCAAGCUUUCCCUGGCCUGCACCCCAUCUUCCCCCUGUUUUUCAACAAAUACCGUGGUUACCUUAUCCCAGUCUCCUUGUCUGAGUCUGCUCUUGGGUUCACCUGCUUCGCACUUCGUAACAGGUAGAGAACAACGCAUGGAAGAAAACAUAACUGUGGUAAGGGGUUCUAGAAGUGCUGCAGAUACAUUAUAAAUGUUCCUAAUUAUAUAAUUACUCCUGUCUGUACAGAAAUAAAUGAAAUCAUUGAAAACACUACACCAAAGAGCAUAAUUUAGCCACAGAUGAUCAAUAACUUAUUUUUUCAAAUGCUGUUGAUUGUGUUUUGUUUCAUCAUAAGCUCAUAAAAGCCUACAGUUGGGAAUCCGGCAAUUGGGCAGCCUGCGGGAAAUAUCAAACACCUGAUUGUUGAUUUGUGGCUGUCAAUGUGACUGUCAAUGAACAGAGGGCAGCAGUUAAAAGGUCUUUCACAAUAUUUCAAAAUGCAAAAAACGGUCUAUGAGUGAGUGCCACUGGAAAGUUGGUGGACUAUAAUUUCCUCAUAUUGUACAAUCUGUGCCUCUAUUUUCCCUUAGCCUAUAUGCUAUUGGUUGCAUUUAAGACAGGGCUGUUCGUUUUAUACUUUUUUUAUUUA
Molecule: long non-coding RNA, 1166 nt
Organism: Oncorhynchus keta (chum salmon)
Lineage: Eukaryota; Metazoa; Chordata; Actinopteri; Salmoniformes; Salmonidae
Exons: 2
Source: RefSeq, a predicted model, not a curated record